RNAcentral lists this ribosomal RNA (453 nucleotides) under uncultured bacterium. Its description in RNAcentral is "bacterial SSU rRNA". It matches the Rfam family "Bacterial small subunit ribosomal RNA", at positions 37 to 507 of the family's 1533-position model. The record is from RNAcentral.
UGGCGGCGCGCUUAAUACAUGCAAGUCGAACGAGAAGCCAGAGCUUGCUCUGGUGGAAAGUGGCGAACGGGUGAGUAACACGUGAGAAACCUGCCCCAAAGAUUGGGAUAAGCCUUGGGAACGAGGUCUAAUACCAAAUACCUUCUUUUUAACACAUGUUAAAAAGAGAAAUGCUCCGGCGCUUUGGGAUGGUCUCGCGAUCUAUCAGCUUGUUGGUGAGGUAACGGCUCACCAAGGCAUCGACGGAUAGCUGGUCUGAGAGGAUGUCCAGCCACAUUGGAACUGAGACACGGUCCAAACUCCUACGGGAGGCAGCAGUAGGGAAUCUUGCACAAUGAGGGAAACCUUGAUGCAGCGACGCCGCGUGCGGGACGAAGGCCCUAGGGUUGUAAACCGCUUUCAGUAGGGACGAAAGUGACGGUACCUACAGAAGAAGCCCCGGCCAACUAUGUG